This 745-nucleotide ribosomal RNA is filed under the name uncultured bacterium. Its description in RNAcentral is "bacterial SSU rRNA". It matches the Rfam family "Bacterial small subunit ribosomal RNA", at positions 33 to 773 of the family's 1533-position model. The record is from RNAcentral.
ACGCUGGCGGCAGGCCUAACACAUGCAAGUCGAGCGGUAGAGAGAAGCUUGCUUCUCUUGAGAGCGGCGGACGGGUGAGUAAUGCCUAGGAAUCUGCCUGGUAGUGGGGGAUAACGUUCGGAAACGGACGCUAAUACCGCAUACGUCCUACGGGAGAAAGCAGGGGACCUUCGGGCCUUGCGCUAUCAGAUGAGCCUAGGUCGGAUUAGCUAGUUGGUGGGGUAAUGGCUCACCAAGGCGACGAUCCGUAACUGGUCUGAGAGGAUGAUCAGUCACACUGGAACUGAGACACGGUCCAGACUCCUACGGGAGGCAGCAGUGGGGAAUAUUGGACAAUGGGCGAAAGCCUGAUCCAGCCAUGCCGCGUGUGUGAAGAAGGUCUUCGGAUUGUAAAGCACUUUAAGUUGGGAGGAAGGGCAGUUGCCUAAUACGUAACUGUUUUGACGUUACCGGCAGAAUAAGCACCGGCUAACUCUGUGCCAGCAGCCGCGGUAAUACAGAGGGUGCAAGCGUUAAUCGGAAUUACUGGGCGUAAAGCGCGCGUAGGUGGUUUGUUAAGUUGGAUGUGAAAUCCCCGGGCUCAACCUGGGAACUGCAUUCAAAACUGACUGACUAGAGUAUGGUAGAGGGUGGUGGAAUUUCCUGUGUAGCGGUGAAAUGCGUAGAUAUAGGAAGGAACACCAGUGGCGAAGGCGACCACCUGGACUGAUACUGACACUGAGGUGCGAAAGCGUGGGGAGCAAAC